This 497-nucleotide ribosomal RNA is filed under the name uncultured bacterium. RNAcentral describes it as "partial 16S ribosomal RNA". It matches the Rfam family "Bacterial small subunit ribosomal RNA", at positions 28 to 507 of the family's 1533-position model. The record is from RNAcentral.
GAUGAACGCUGGCGGCGUGCCUAAUACAUGCAAGUCGAGCGAACGGACGAGAAGCUUGCUUCUCUGAUGUUAGCGGCGGACGGGUGAGUAACACGUGGAUAACCUACCUAUAAGACUGGGAUAACUUCGGGAAACCGUAGCUAAUAACGGAUAAUAUUUUGAACCGCAUGGUUCAAAAGUGAAAGACGGUCUUGCUGUCACUUAUAGAUGGAUCCGCGCUGGAUUAGCUAGUUGGUAAGGUAACGGCUUACCAAGGCAACGAUGCAUAGCCGACCUGAGAGGGUGAUCGGCCACACUGGAACUGAGACACGGUCCAGACUCCUACGGGAGGCAGCAGUAGGGAAUCUUCCGCAAUGGGCGAAAGCCUGACGGAGCAACGCCGCGUGAGUGAUGAAGGUCUUCGGAUCGUAAAACUCUGUUAUUAGGGAAGAACAUAUGUGUAAGUAACUGUGCACAUCUUGACGGUACCUAAUCAGAAAGCAACGGCUAACUACGUG